Molecule: unclassified non-coding RNA, 98 nt
Organism: Otolemur garnettii (small-eared galago)
Lineage: Eukaryota; Metazoa; Chordata; Mammalia; Primates; Galagidae
Rfam family: Y RNA
About the family: Y RNAs are components of the Ro ribonucleoprotein particle (Ro RNP), in association with Ro60 and La proteins. The Y RNAs and Ro60 and La proteins are well conserved, but the function of the Ro RNP is not known.
Source: Ensembl
GGCUGGUCCAAGUGCAGUGGAGUUUACAGCUAAUUGAUCACGACCCAUUAGAAACCCCUUUGUUCUUCACUCCCUCUGCCUCACUAGACUAGCCUUAA